This 162-nucleotide ribosomal RNA is filed under the name Pterostylis barbata. RNAcentral's name for it is "5.8S ribosomal RNA". It matches the Rfam family "5.8S ribosomal RNA". Rfam says of the family: 5.8S ribosomal RNA (5.8S rRNA) is a component of the large subunit of the eukaryotic ribosome. The record is from RNAcentral. Lineage: Eukaryota; Viridiplantae; Streptophyta; Magnoliopsida; Asparagales; Orchidaceae.
UAGGACUCUCGGCAAUGGAUAUCUUGGCUCUUGCAUCGAUGAAGAGCGCAGCGAAAUGCGAUACGUGGUGUGAAUUGCAGAAUCCCGUGAACCAUCGAGUUUUUGAACGCAAGUUGCGCCCGAGGCCAAUUGGCUAAGGGCACGUCCGCCUGAGCGUCAAGC